This 106-nucleotide transfer RNA is filed under the name Treponema sp. RNAcentral's name for it is "tRNA-OTHER". Lineage: Bacteria; Pseudomonadati; Spirochaetota; Spirochaetia; Treponematales; Treponemataceae. The record is from RNAcentral.
GGGGACGUGGUGUUAAUUGGCAGCACGUUGCGGUCGGGUUCAGCCGGUUAAAAACCAAUGGCCAACACCGACAACGAAGGCGCAGGGUCGAGACCUGCCGUUCCCG